Long non-coding RNA from Helianthus annuus (common sunflower), 2167 nucleotides. RefSeq lists it as uncharacterized. The transcript is spliced from 8 exons. The record is from RefSeq and is a predicted model, not a curated record. NCBI's taxonomy places the organism in Eukaryota, Viridiplantae, Streptophyta, Magnoliopsida, Asterales, Asteraceae.
CCACAAUUUUAUAUAGAGGUGGCAGAGAGAAAUCGGUGCUAUCUUCUACAAUGGUUCUGAAGCCGAUGAUGGUGCAAGAUCGGGAGGUGGUUGCGGAGAUCGGGGUAAGUGUCGGUAUCCGCUACAGAAAUAUGGAAAUAAUCACUUCUUCUGAUAAAGUUCAUCAAGAUCUAACGUUCCAACACAAUAAUCUGCUCCUUAAUCGCAACUGGUGGUGACCGAAAGUCAUGGCGGCACUGGUUCAAUCGCCGGUGAUGGAACGGGUAGUUGGUCGAACCUUAUGGUCUCAAGCAUCAUGAAGAGUUUUUGCAACAUGUGAUUCAGAUUCAGAAGGAAUAUGGGCGAGUGGAGUAUGAACUUGGGGCGCCGGCUAGAGCCUAUCCAAAAUGGGCCUCUAAGAUGGUUGUGAGUAUAGGAACAGGUGUCCUAAGGACCAUGAGCAAGCAAGACGCUGCCCCUUAUCCCAUUUAAUCUUCCUUUAACUGUCUCAUCAGUGCCCGAAGCUGUUGAACCCUACAUCGUUGUUGCAGAUUGAAUUGCUAAAUAACUUAAAGUGUACUUAAUUGAGAGGACUUGCUUUGGGAGAUGAAGGGGAUCAAGUAAUUUCACCCUAGAUAACCGAAACGCAUGAUGCUCAAAGAUGAUGACGAGGUGCUUGCAGUUUUAGCUACACGAGGCUGCGAGAAGACUUCAUCUGGGAAUAUGCUUUGUCGUGAUUACCAUAUUAAAGUGAUUGCCAAAUGACAUGGAAGGAGCCAAAACAUUAACUCUUUGGGUAAGAUUUCGUUGGGAAUGGGAAUGGGAGGUUUUAUACUAAAAGUUAUGAGUCUUUGUAUGUGUUGGGGCAGUGUCAAGGGGAUUUAGGGGUGAUGAUUGUGGGGAGUGUGUGAAAUGUGCAGUGCAGAGGGCUGAAGUGGAGUGUGGGGGUUCAACUUCUAGCUUCAUCUUCAUCAGAUUCUUCGUAUUCUUCUUCGUCAGAUUCUUCGUAUUAUUCACCAUCUUCUUCUUCAUCAGGAACAGAUUCAAAUACAGGAAAGACAGUAGCAAUUAUCUUGGAUCUUGGGAGAGGCAGCAGGAGUUGGAUUUUUAGUAACAUUUGUAUUAUUUGCUAAAAUUGCAGCAAAAAAACAUGAUGGUAUGUCAACCAAACUUUAAAUGAGAGUGAUUAUAAAUUUUCGUUUUCCUAAUUUUAAUAAUUUUUAAAAAAUUUUGGGUGCAUAUUAUUGAAAGGGAGAUGAGAUGACAGUUGGUCACAGAAUUAAGAACCAAAGAUCCAAUUUUUGAGGUGGGUUCUUUCUUUAGUCUUUUUCAAAUCCAUUACUAAGAUUUGGUUUUUGGUUAGUCAUUUAUCUUCAUUUUAGUUUACCCCAAGCUAAUAAUCAUAUUACAUAAAAUAACAUAAUAAGGGAAACUGGUAGAAUAUUGUAUUUAACACCCCUGAACUUUAAACAGUUUUUUUUUUCUUUUCCUUUUCUUAAGUCGAUUUACGCUGCAAUACCCCUUCUUAUGGACCCUUUUUAAGCGUAACUGUUGAGAUGAAAGCAUAACUCUUGAGAUGAUGAUCGCUCAAAGUUUGUUAGCAUGUGUACAUGGAGAUAACAAGAGCAACUUAGGCCAUAUAUAAGAGGUGAGAGCGCAAACAUAUUUCAAUGUAAGUUCUAACGAUGUUUUUAACUACGGCAUUUAAAAUUUGGUCGAUAUAUUAUUUGCGUAUAUGCCAACUACAAUCUCAUGUACUUAAAUGCUUAUUACAUAACUUAGGAUUACUCACUUUUAAAGUGCUUACAUAACUUAGUGUAUUCUAUUAUGAAGAAUAGAAUACACUAACUAUAUGCUCUAUUGUUGCUACUGUUCAGUUGGCAAAACCAGGUUUGUGGUCUGAUGGAGUGUUGGUCUAGAAGUGUUCUGUCUUGGCAUUGGACGAGGGAGGCGAGGCUGCUAAAUGGUUCACUGACUUUCAAUCAUAGAUGUAGCUUGGUUUGUAAAGAGUACUUGAUGUUUUCAAUUAUAGAUGUAGCUUGGUUUGUAAAGAGUACUUGAUGUUCACUUGGUCUCAGUGACCUGUAUGGUGUACAUAUUCAAAGGAAGCCUCGAAAUAUCAUUGAGUAUCAUUGGUUUAUUUAGGUGAAACUAAAUAAGAAAUACUCAAUUUGUUGCGACUUUUUAA